UUUUAUGGAGAGUUUGAUCCUGGCUCAGGAUGAACGCUGGCGGCGUGCCUAAUACAUGCAAGUCGAGCGAACGGACGAGAAGCUUGCUUCUCUGAUGUUAGCGGCGGACGGGUGAGUAACACGUGGAUAACCUACCUAUAAGACUGGGAUAACUUCGGGAAACCGGAGCUAAUACCGGAUAAUAUUUUGAACCGCAUGGUUCAAAAGUGAAAGACGGUCUUGCUGUCACUUAUAGAUGGAUCCGCGCUGCAUUAGCUAGUUGGUAA
This 266-nucleotide ribosomal RNA is filed under the name Staphylococcus aureus. RNAcentral describes it as "partial 16S ribosomal RNA". It matches the Rfam family "Bacterial small subunit ribosomal RNA", at positions 1 to 255 of the family's 1533-position model. Lineage: Bacteria; Bacillati; Bacillota; Bacilli; Caryophanales; Staphylococcaceae. The record is from RNAcentral.